Molecule: long non-coding RNA, 363 nt
Organism: Periophthalmus magnuspinnatus
Lineage: Eukaryota; Metazoa; Chordata; Actinopteri; Gobiiformes; Gobiidae
Exons: 3
Source: RefSeq, a predicted model, not a curated record
CAGGACUAAAGCAGGACUGAACCAAGGCUGAACCAGGACUGAGCAGGGUCCAUGAUGAGGAGGCUGCAGUGGGAUGGAGGCUCUCUGAGGAUCGGGGGCUGAGUCCAGGUGAGCCUGGGGGCGGAGUCACCUGUCAGGGGGCGGCGUCACCUGCAAGGGAGUGGAACCUGCCGGUGACCUGUUGCCGUGACGAUGAUAGCAACAGGAGGACUGCUGCGAAUCAACGCACGCCGCCAAGACUCACUCCGUUCCAAACCCCGAGUCAAACCCAAGAAGCCCCGAAAGAAGAGGAGACAGGAGGUGGUGGUGGUCCCUGGGCGGAUCCAGGUCUGCUCGGUCUCGGGUCUGGUGGCGGUCCUCGGG